Molecule: long non-coding RNA, 388 nt
Filed under: Populus trichocarpa (black cottonwood)
Lineage: Eukaryota; Viridiplantae; Streptophyta; Magnoliopsida; Malpighiales; Salicaceae
Description: long non-coding RNA (PTRI_LNC000881)
Source: RNAcentral
UGUUCUACAACCACCACGAUACGGGGCAUACUCAAAAGGGGCAUCUACAAGAUCCCAAUGAGGUGAUAUUGUCUCUACCUUGGUUACAAACAGUUUCAAAAGAAUAAAACAGCACAAUUAAUAAGAAGGAAAAUAAGAAAAGAAAGACGUAAAUGUUAAAAAAGACUUGAUUUUGUGAAGAUCAUCCACGUUAUAUUUUGAGCACUACAAGGACCCACUCUAGAACUAAACUUCAGGUCAUCAGUGGUAGAGACAAACCUGAUUUAUAGUUAUUGCUUAUAUAUGCACGUUUCAUCUACGGAGACACAUCAUUGAAGCAUUGAAAUGGUGGAAUACAUAAGAAACCCAAGGCAACAGAGGCAGAACUAGGUUAUAUCUUGGGGUGCCA